AGAAGGUUCCGGACGAGGAGGAGGAAAGAUGGCACGCGAAAUGGAUCCCAUCCGAGCGGAAUGAAUGGACUUGCGGAAGAGGAAUGGCCCUAGAUGCUUUGCAUAGAGACAAUUCCAUAUCUGAUCUCCAGAUUCCCAUACAGGGCUGAGAAAGACACUUGAAGCCCAUUGUUGUCCAUCAGCGAGUACCAGCAUUUGAAAAGCCUCAAAGAAGAAGAAGAAGAAAAACGACCUUGAAAACAUUCACAGUGGAGUGGAUCAGAGAAACACAGACUCUCUCUCUCUUUCUCCAGGGUUUUGGUGCCAGAGAUUUUGGUGCCAGGGUUAAUUAACCUGAAUCUAAGAGCGUGGACUACGUACACCCGUCAGUUUCCUCUCCAACAGUCCCAGGGGCAUCUCCUGCCAAAGGGACUUUUUACAUUGUGGAAGCUCAGACUUAACUUAUUACAGAAGCUGGAACAGCACAUGACAGGUCAUUGGUGUGAUUCUUUCCACUGGGAUGUGUUGUGUGUGUUUUAAGCAACCGAAAGCAGGGCAUCCAGAUCUUUUCCCCUUUAGGGAAACAAACAGAUGAUGGGACUCGUUGGCUGUGAGAGGGAUGUAAGGGAUGAAUAAAACAGCCCUUCUCUUCUUUUGCAAAAGUGUUAAUGAGGUCUUGAGCAAUGCCAAAGCAGCUGAGCCCAACCUCCUGACUUACUUCAAAGAAGAAAUGGGAGGGGGGAAAUAACUUUUUUUUGGAGCGCAGCUCCCAGAAGACCACAGAGAA
Molecule: non-coding RNA, 766 nt
Organism: Pogona vitticeps (central bearded dragon)
Lineage: Eukaryota; Metazoa; Chordata; Lepidosauria; Squamata; Agamidae
Source: RefSeq, a predicted model, not a curated record